CGAUAGGUCUCUAGACGUUACAGAGAACCCCGAACAACCCAAACUGUUAAUCUUCAAUACCCCUUUGUACUUACGAUCUUAUAUCCACUGACUGUCCUGUUAGAUUAACCCAAUAAAUUUCAUUCACUCCGCAUACUCAAUCCUAUAGACACCCCUUUAAUCCUUCAAUCACAGACGUAACUCGAUUUUACAAAACAGUCAAGAGUAUUCAAACCCACUUCAUUUAAAAAUCUCGAUUCACCAUUACAAUACUGACUCCAGCAGUGAUUGCCUCAGUCUUCCCAAAACUCUACGAAGAAGAAAAAUCCAAAUUCUAUGUCUUUCCUUCCCCGAUCCGAAGCAUGAAGCUCCUUUCUCUAAUUUCCCUGAUCUUCAAAAACCUCCAAUGAAAACCGAACUGGUAACCUUGCAAAAGCUUGAAAACUAGCUCCCCCCUAGAUUCCCUUGAAAAAAAAAACCCCCCCCAAAACUAUAUCCUACCUAACCUUAUCCUCUGAAUUUCUUCAAUCUUCCGUCUUAGAUCCGAAAUUGGCUCCCACCUCAAGCUUGGAUCCGAAAUUGGCUCUCGCCGUCAAGCUUUCUCCUCCGUUUUUGCCUUUAAGAAUCCAUUUACCGAAAACAACGUUCCCUGAGACGGCACAGAGAACAGGACAGCCUGAAACAGAAUCGAACCCCGUAAUCGGGACCACAUUGAGUCGCCCGACCAAUUCAGGUCCUAUAUUGGUAAAGAUGCCCGUAGUAACCUGGAUGUUCCCGUAAUUGGGUCAAAUUGGUCCUCGCGUCAGAUUGGCUAAGACCCGUAGUAAGACCUGGAUUUCCCGUAACUAGACUGCAUUGGGUUGCCCUACCAAUACAGGUCUCAUAUGGGGUAAGAGGACCUGGAUUGGAUUAUCAAAAUUGGAUCCAAUUGGCUCCUCGAACCCGUCGUGUGAAUUGGUCCUUCUCUUCCUGCUGACUCCCGUUAUUGGAAUCGAAUGGAGCAUUCCAGUAUGCCCCGGCUGACUAUAACGGAGUCACUGAACCUGACCACUCAGUAUUUGUACUGGAGUUGGUCGAUGCUCCCAAUAUUCGAGGUAACUGAAUAUUAAUAAAAUUCCCCUUUCUUUUUAUUUUCACUGUAUACUCGUGUUACAACACGACAUCCACCCCCUUUGAACCUGUGCAUCCUCCGGUAUGCACCAAUUUAUCCAAUUGCUGUUUGAUUCAGAAUAUAUCCCCUACCUCUUUGUCCAGUUCGUCUUCGUCACCUUCAUUAUCCAUAUCACUUUCAUCUUCUUGCUGCGAAAUCUCUGUACCUUCAUUAAGGUCUUCCAUAUUCAUCUCUGCGUGUCUUCGUUUAAAUAUUUUUACUCUCUUCCCUGCAAUUGGUAUUUUCAAUUUUGUACCAUCUAACUCCCGUAAUGAGUAAGUCGCAUUAUCAUGAACAGUUGUUACAACAUAUGGUCCAAACCAACGUUUUGAAAAUUUCCGCAAAGUACUAUGUUGAUUAUCCAGACUAUUGUCAUAAACAAGUACCCAGUCACCUUCCUCGAUUGCUUUUGGUCUCAAUCGAUGUUGCUUAUCGAAUCGCGCCUUGUUUUGUAACCUUGCUCUUUUUAACCUUUCCAAUGCUAUCUGGACAUCUUCCGUUCUUUGCUCCAAUUGUCGAAUCCUAAUAGCCAGAAGUUCUUCUCUUGUCAAUCCAUCUUCCCAUGGUAGCAUACUCCAAGUAAGUACCUUUUCUUCAAUCGGCAUAAUUGGUUUUUGACCUGUCAUAAGUUCUACUGGGUAAUAUCCUGUCACCGAACUAUGUGUUGUUCGAUCAGCCCAUAAUGCAAAUGACAAAAGCCGUGGCCACUCUUUAACCUUCCCAUUACAAGCUUUAACCAAUGCUUUCACAAUCGGCGGGUGACCGCGUUCGCUUUUCACAUUCCCUUCCGGAUUAUAAGCAGUAGUCAGUGAUAGUUUAACUCCACAUCUUUCAAAGAACUUACGAGCUUCUUGUGCAUUUAAUUCUCCACGAUCUGUAGUGAUUUUUCCUACGCACCCGUAACGGCAAAUGACAUCUUCAAGCAAAAACCUACAAAUUUCUUCUAUAGAUUUUGUCCUCAAUGCUCUUCCUUCUACUUGAUUUGAUAAAUCUUCGCGAGCUAAAACCAAAUAUCUCAUCUGCCAUAACCCAACCGGCAUAAUAACCAAAUCAACAACCCAUUUAAAAUGAAUAGCCAGAGGAUACGUAGGAUGAAGACCAUCUCGAUGUCGGAUAUUAGAAUACGAUUGACAGAUUUCACAUGACUCUACAAAUGAGAGCACAUCUCGAUACAUAUUUUUCCACCAAUAUCGUUCCUUGAGUUUAGCAAAAGUAGCCCAGAUUCCUCUAUGCCCUGCCCAUAAACUAUCAUGAAACUCCUUUAAUAAUUUUAGUUUUUCUUCUUUUUUACCUAUCACUCGUUGUGGCAUCCCAAUUCCUUUCUUCGGUCUCUUCCAUAAGAAUCCAUCUCAAAGUAAAAAUCUAUAUGCUUUUUUUCUUAUUUGUUUGAAUUUUUCUGUAGACCAAUUCUCCUGCUUAGACAAGGUAUUCAAAUAAUGACCAAUAUCCAAUAAUUCUCCUUCAUAAGAUUCUUCAAGAAAUAGCUUGUCUUCUCUGUUGAGAUUUGAUAUUGAAUAGAAUUUCAAUCCGACAUCAUCAAUGUCUUCAACCAUUUCGUCCUCCCUCUCGUAUCUUGCUCGAGAUAGCAUGUCUGCUACUAAAUUGUCCUUUCCAGUGGUAUGCUUAAAUUCUGGAUUUAGUGACUUAAUAUAAGCAAUCCAUCUCAACAUUGCAAUAUCUGGCGUUGAACAGUUAAUAAUCAUUCAAAGCAAUGGCAAGCAAUCUAUUUCAAUUACUACUACUGCCCCAAUCAAAUAGUCCUUUUCAGCUUUCAUAGCCGAAACGACUCCCCAAAGUUCUCUUUUGACUUGCGAAUAUGCACGUUGACGAAUACUUAAAACUUUAGCCCCAAAUCGAACUGCAAAUCUACUCCCAUUCGAAUCAUCUUGACCCACCGCCCAUCCAACGCCAAUUGGACUAGCGUCUAGAGUAAGAAUCACUGGUUUAUUGCACUUAUAAUCAACCUUCCUCAAUAUUGGAGGUGACAUCAAUAAUUUCUUCAAUCUUUGCAUUGCCUGAAUAUGCCUUUCUUUCCAUUCAAAUCGGUAAUCCUUGCGUAAUAGUUCAUAUAAUGGAUCCGCUAUGUGAGCAAAAUGAGGGAUCCAGAUUCGAUAAAAUACACAUGCACCCAAAAACCUGCGAACCUCUGUUAAAGAACCACAAUCGUCUUUCAUCCUUCUAAUUGCAUCAACUUUAGUCGGAUCUGGUUAUCUUCCGUAAGAUCCGCAUAAAUGUCCAACAAUUACAAUCUCUCGCACUCCAAAUACGGACUUCAUACUCGAUAAUGUAAGAUGAACUUCUCCAAGCCGAGUUAAAAUCUUUUCACAAUCUUGUAUAUGAUCAACAACAUAUCUGCGACACCCCCUCGUAUCUAAAGUUUCAUCCUUGUCUCCUUCUCUGCACCCUUUUAUAGGAACAUCAUCCAGAAAAGGCAUAGUCUUUUCCGGAAUAAAAUCUCUCAAUACCUUAUUCAUCCCAUUCAUCAUAUGCGCAACUGAGUUGGUCGCGCCUUGAGAAAGAGUGCACAUUCUAACCAAUCCAAGCGGUGUCCUCAUCGUUGUCAUAUCUCUACUUCCUUCCGCAAGUUGAAAUUGAUCAUAACCUGAAUACAAAUCACCCAUUGAAUAGAUCGCCCUUCCAGCAAACGCCUCAGCAAAGUCAUCCACAAUAGGUCCAAUUCCUGCAUUCCUGACAGUUAAAGCAUUCACCGGCUGCAUAUCUUGAAUAAAUCGUAGUGAUCCAUUCUUCUUAGGUACCGUAAACCAUCGACUAGAAUACGGCGUAAAUGAAGGUUCUAAUAUUUUCAUCUUUAUCUUUUCUUUCAAUAGUUCGACCAAUUUAGGUAAAUGUGCCCUUGGUACUGGAAUCGGUCUUAGAUUCCAAGGUACAUGCGGUACAGUGAAGAUAACUAUAGGUGUUAUAAUAUUUGGAUCCACACACCCAAUUUCAUGAGAUUCGAAGGCAAACAAUCUAUCUUGUUUAGCCAACAUCUUUUUGAAGCAAGUAAUUUCCUCCGGCAAUAAAGAACCAUCAGAACCAAUCUUCAAUUCUUCAAAAGUCUCUUCAGUAAACUGAUGUCCAAUACUCAUUGAAUCUCUUAAACUUGCUUCUUUUGAUGCUUCUCCCAUUUGUUCUUUAGAAUCCUCUGGUAAUGGUCCGGCAACAGGCUUUACCUUCUUAUCUGCCGUUUUAUAUUUCGUCUCUACUGUGACUUCUGGUGCUUGAAAAGAUUCAAGUAUGGUAUAAACCUCUCUCGAAUGAAUCUCAACAAUCUUAUCAUUAUCCCCUAACCCAAUAGAUGUAAUCAAUUCCAAUGAAUCUUCUAGCCCAUUUUCUUCAUAAACACCCAAAAUCCUCUCAUCAUCUUGCAAUGUACCUAUCUUGCGUAAUUGUCCUUCAAUAUCAUAUAAUCUUUUUCUUUCUUUUCUUUUAAAAUCAUCAACUUUCUUAUACAUAUUAUUUCCAUUCUCCAAUAUACCAAUAAAACUCGCAUCAAAGGCACCUUCAUCUCGCGAGAGUACCUCCUCUUUUGUACCUCCAUAAUCUCGCUUUACAGUGGUACCUCCCCAAAAUCCUUAAAUCCUUCAACAAUCUUUGGCAAUGGUUUCUCCCUCAACCUAUCUCGAUUCCGUUCAUGGUUAGGAGGUACUGUUAGAAAUUGUACAGCUUUCCUCCCAUCUUCGCUCUGUACCCUUGCAUAAGCAGAACCAUCGUCAAGUACCUUUGUUUCCAUCCGUGUUGCCGUGAUAUAAGGUUGUCCUAAAAUCAACGGAUAAGACGUUGUAUCUUGAACGAAGAAAUGUUGCUCCGUCGCAACAUCCCCAAUCCGAAUUUUGACAUCUGGACAAGCUCCAUAUAAUUCGCCUCGUGUGUUAUUAGCUGCUCGUAUUGUCCAUCCAUGUUUCAUAUCAAUUGGCCAUUUUUGCUUCUUAUAAAGAUCUUUAGACAUGAGAUUUAUUUCAGAACCAUGGUCCACCAAAGCAACUACUGGUUCUUCUAUAUCUCCUACCUUCACCAAUACCUCAGUAGUUGCCCUUGUCCAAUGCUUUCGAGUAUAAUGGCUCAAAGUUUCCAUUUCCUUGUCACUAGAAUCUUCGAAACGUACUCGCUGAUUAUACCCAUUCUUUUCAUUUGUUGGUUGCUUGUAACCAAUAUCAACCUCUUCUUCAUCUCUACAUAUUCUUGCAUCAAUAGCAUGACUCAUUCCAGUUUCGCUCAUUAAUUGCCUCUUUCGCUUAAUGCUGUCAAUGAUAACAUCAUGAAACUCCUUCUUUGCAAUUCCUAAGACUUCUUUCAAUGUGAAUUCCACCUUAGCGUUUAAUAUACGUUCUUCCAACACCCCUUUCAAAUUUGUUGCCGCUUCAAUGUCAGAAAGUAGCUUAUAAGCAAUUGAUUUGCCCUUAUCUUUUGUCUCCGUUGUUUUUUCUCCCAAUGAUGCUGAGGUAUCCUUUACAGGCAAUUCUUGUGAAGCUGCCUCCCGAGCCUUGUCUCCUCGAGUUUGCCUCUUAAAAGAAUUUCCUUCUCUAAUAUCAUCAAAAUUUCCUCGUCUUUUUUCUUCCAUCAAAGCUUCAUGUUGGCUCUUAGCAAUAUAUGCAUGAACUGAAAGAGACUCAACAUGAUCCUCCCAACCUGUUCUUCCUCGUAUUGUAGCUGCAGUUCUCAAUAACGCUUCUCGAGGUAAUUUCCCUUCUUGCAUUGUAGAAACGGCAGAAGCCCAAAACUCACUAGUUUCCGUACUUCCACCAAUUUCAUCAUCUACUCUAGCACCAUAACUUGCACUUUCUCGUACUACUGUUUCAUGCUCUUUUAAGUAAUCUUGAACCAAUGCACUCAUUCCUCCUUUGCCAAAAUUGGUUUGAAGAAGAUCCUCCCUAUCUUUCAAUGCUAUCUUCCCAUCUUUCCAGCAAAUAAUUCCCUGCCGUAUCAUAUUAUUAAAUUCAUUGCAAUCUUUUCUAGUGUGUGAAGCAUCAUCACACCAAAUACAUCUUUGUACAUAUCCUUGUUUUGAAACAUUCUUCGAAUUGUUUAUAGAAGUAUUCUCUUCAAGUCUUGCCAAUUUGAUUUGAAGAUCUCGCAUUCCUCGUAUAAUUUCUUCCAUACCCAUAUCUGCUUUCUUUGACAAGGAUGUCGAAGGUUGAACUGUAGGCAUUGUCGGUGGUGUUGUACGUACUGGAGCUUUGGGUGCUUGUACUGUUUUCGGAAUAUUACUCCUAUCCUUCCUCCUUUCUUUUUUUGUAAGCAACCCCACCGCAUCUUCAACGUUCUUCCACUUCGUUGUCAAUCCUUCAUCUUCUUCUUUGUCUUCAAGAAGGGGUUCUGAUUUCUCUUGCAAUUCUCCAUCAACAGCUUGAAGAAAUAGAUCAACUUUGUUCGGCUCCAAUGUCAAUUUUUCUACCUUCGAUAAUUGAGAGUACUGCCUCUCAAAUUCCCUUAGUAGCUCUGUUGCUUGCAAAUUCUUAUUGGGCCGUUCAAUCCAUCCCAGAAACAGCUUCUUAGUAACGCGAUCAGCAUCUUUCAAGAAAUAUUCGUCUUUCAAUGCAUGUAAAAAAUCCUCCCAUGAAUUCCCACAACGAUCCGUAAUCGAUGUAAUGUGGUCCCUUAUCUCCGGUAUCAUGGCAAGUCCAAAUAGUGCAACCAUUUUUUUCUCAGAAACCCGAUUUAAUUCCAUUUCACGAACAUAACAUCUUAAAUACCUUGAAAUAUUCCUCCCAUCAAAUUGAUCAAUUUUAUUGACCACUGCUUGUAAUGCUUUGGUUGCCAAAGCUUCCUUUCGAUCAUUGCUUUGCUGUUGCUGCAUUGACAAUGAGAAGGCUUGAAACAAACUAGCAAUAGACGGAUCCAUGUGCAUACCUUGUCCUUUAGAAGACUCCCCACCAGAAACUUCUCCCAAAAAUCCUUCAAAAUUUUUAUUUUCGAUUUCCAUAAAAAUAAAGAUAAAAUCAACCGAAAUCCAAUACCUUCCACCUCAAGCUUUCAUGUCGGGUUCACCACUUAUGUCGUAUUACGUGCUUUCCUACUCGAGAACGCGCCGGGCGUCUGGCUAUAGAAGGUAGUAUGGAGAUUCGCCGAUAGUCACGCAGUCUAUCAGUUUUUGACUGCUGGAAUAUAAACGAUUGCAACAAUGUACAGUAAAUCUAUACGGAUGCUUUUCGACUGCUUGUCGAAGUCCUUUUUAUCCCAGCCGAUAGGUCUCUAGACGUUACAGAGAACCCCGAACAACCCAAACUGUUAAUCUUCAAUACCCCUUUGUACUUACGAUCUUAUAUCCACUGACUGUCCUGUUAGAUUAACCCAAUAAAUUUCAUUCACUCCGCAUACUCAAUCCUAUAGACACCCCUUUAAUCCUUCAAUCACAGACGUAACUCGAUUUUACAAAACAGUCAAGAGUAUUCAAACCCACUUCAUUUAAAAAUCCCGAUUCACCAUUACAAUACUGACUCCAGCAGUGAUUGCCUCAGUCUUCCCAAAACUCUACGAAGAAGAAAAAUCCAAAUUCUAUGUCUUUCCUUCCCCGAUCCAAAGCAUGAAGCUCCUUUCUCUUAUUCCCUUGAUCUUCAAAAACCUCCAAUGAAAACCGAACUGGUAACCUUGCAAAAGCUUGAAAACUAGCUCCC
This 7743-nucleotide long non-coding RNA is filed under the name Physcomitrium patens. Its description in RNAcentral is "long non-coding RNA (PPAT_LNC008380)". The record is from RNAcentral. Lineage: Eukaryota; Viridiplantae; Streptophyta; Bryopsida; Funariales; Funariaceae.